This 242-nucleotide ribosomal RNA is filed under the name uncultured bacterium. Its description in RNAcentral is "partial 16S ribosomal RNA". It matches the Rfam family "Bacterial small subunit ribosomal RNA", at positions 1258 to 1500 of the family's 1533-position model. The record is from RNAcentral.
GGACCCAGAGCGGACCCGAAAACCUGUCUCAGUUCGGAUUGGAGUCUGCAACCCGACUCCAUGAAGCUGGAUUCGCUAGUAAUCGCGCAUCAGCCACGGCGCGGUGAAUACGUUCCCGGGCCUUGUACACACCGCCCGUCACACCAUGAGAGUCGGGAACACCCGAAGUCCGUAGCCUAACCGCAAGGAGGGCGCGGCCGAAGGUGGGUUCGAUAAUUGGGGUGAAGUCGUAACAAGGUAUC